This 476-nucleotide ribosomal RNA is filed under the name uncultured organism. RNAcentral describes it as "partial 16S ribosomal RNA". It matches the Rfam family "Bacterial small subunit ribosomal RNA", at positions 330 to 797 of the family's 1533-position model. The record is from RNAcentral.
CGUACACUCCUACGGGAGGCAGCAGUGGGGAAUUUUGGACAAUGGGCGAAAGCCUGAUCCAGCCAUGCCGCGUGCAGGAUGAAGGCCUUCGGGUUGUAAACUGCUUUUGUACGGAACGAAACGGCCUUUUCUAAUAAAGAGGGCUAAUGACGGUACCGUAAGAAUAAGCACCGGCUAACUACGUGCCAGCAGCCGCGGUAAUACGUAGGGUGCAAGCGUUAAUCGGAAUUACUGGGCGUAAAGCGUGCGCAGGCGGUUAUGUAAGACAGUUGUGAAAUCCCCGGGCUCAACCUGGGAACUGCAUCUGUGACUGCAUAGCUAGAGUACGGUAGAGGGGGAUGGAAUUCCGCGUGUAGCAGUGAAAUGCGUAGAUAUGCGGAGGAACACCGAUGGCGAAGGCAAUCCCCUGGACCUGUACUGACGCUCAUGCACGAAAGCGUGGGGAGCAAACAGGAUUAGAUACCCUAGUAGUCCCA